CCUACGGGAGGCUGCAGUGAGGAAUAUUGGUCAAUGGCCGUAAGACUGAACCAGCCAAGCCGCGUGAAGGACGAAGGUGCCAAGCAUUGUAAACUUCUUUUGUCCAGGGACAAAAUCCGUCUCGAGUGCCUGUCCGAGGGUACUUGAAGAAAAAGCAUCGGCUAAAUCCGUGCCAGCAGCCGCGGUAAUACGGAAGGUGCGAGCGUUAUCCGGAUUUAUUGGGUUUAAAGGGUGCGUAGGCGGGAUGUUAAGUCUGCCGUGAAAAGCCGGGGCUCAACCAUGGCACAGCGGUGAAAACUGGCUGGCGUGAGAGGGCGAGAGGUAUGCGGAAUGCGCAGUGUAGCGGUGAAAUGCUUAGAUAUUGCGAAGAACUCCGAUUGCGAAGGCAGCAUACGGGAGGGGAUCUGACGCUGAGGCACGAAGGUGUGGGUAUCGAACAGGAUUAGAUACCCGAGUAGUC
This 460-nucleotide ribosomal RNA is filed under the name uncultured bacterium. RNAcentral describes it as "partial 16S ribosomal RNA". It matches the Rfam family "Bacterial small subunit ribosomal RNA", at positions 338 to 795 of the family's 1533-position model. The record is from RNAcentral.